Molecule: ribosomal RNA, 1396 nt
Filed under: metagenome
Description: SSU rRNA
Rfam family: Eukaryotic small subunit ribosomal RNA
Source: RNAcentral
UGUUCGACACCGGAGAGGGAGCCUGAGAAACGGCUACCACAUCCAAGGAAGGCAGCAGGCGCGCAAAUUACCCACUCUCGGCACGAGGAGGUAGUGACGAAAAAUAACGAGGCGGUUCUCUAAGAGGCCCGCUAUCGGAAUGGGUACAAUUUAAACCCUUUAACGAGGACCUAUGAGAGGGCAAGUCUGGUGCCAGCAGCCGCGGUAAUUCCAGCUCUCAAGGUGUAUAUCGCCAUUGCUGCGGUUAAAAAGCUCGUAGUUGGAUCUGCGCCUUCGGACUCGGUCCUCCCAACGGGUGCGAACUGAGCUCCAAGGCUACUACUGCUGGUUUUCCCUUGAUGCUCUUCACUGGGUGUCUUGGGUGGCUAGCGAGUUUUACUUUGAAAAAAUUAGAGUGCUCAAAACAGGCUAUUGCCUGAAUACCGGUGCAUGGAAUAAUAGAAUAGGAUCUCGGUCCUAUUUUGUUGGUUUUCGGAACUGAGAUAAUGGUUAAGAGGGACAGACGGGGGCAUUCGUAUCGCUGCGUGAGAGGUGAAAUUCUUGGACCGCAGCGAGACGCCCAACUGCGAAAGCAUUUGCCAAGAAUGUCUUCGUUAAUCAAGAACGAAAGUCAGAGGUUCGAAGGCGAUCAGAUACCGCCCUAGUUCUGACCGUAAACGAUGCCAACUAGCGAUCCGCCGGUGGUAAUUACGCCCCGGCGGGGAGCUUCCCGGAAACGAAAGCCUUCCGGUUCCGGGGGAAGUAUGGUUGCAAAGCUGAAACUUAAAGGAAUUGACGGAAGGGCACCACCAGGAGUGGAGCUUGCGGCUUAAUUUGACCCAACGCGGGAAAACUCACCCGGCCCGGACACCGUAAGGAUUGACAGAUUGAGAGCUCUUUCUUGAUUCGGUGGUUGGUGGUGCAUGGCCGUUCUUAGUUGGUGGAGCGAUUUGUCUGGUUUAUCCCUAUAACGAGCGAGACUCUGGCCUACUAACUAGUGACAGAAUUAUUGCUGUUCUGGUUACUUCUUAGAGGGACAAGUGGUGUUCAGCCACACGAAAUUGAGCAAUAACAGGUCUGUGAUGCCCUUAGAUGUCCGGGGCUGCACGCGUGCUACACUGGAGGAAACAGCAUGCAAAACCAUUGCCGAGAGGCAUUGGUAAACCCAAGAAAAUCUUCCGUGAUCGGGAUCGGGAAUUGCAAUUAUUUCCCUUGAACGAGGAAUUCCCAGUAAGUGUGGGUCAUCAGCUCGCGCUGAUUACGUCCCUGCCCUUUGUACACACCGCCCGUCGCUGCCCGGGACUGAGCCGUUUCGAGAAAAGCGGGGACUGCUGCUGUCGGGGCUUUCGGGCCUUGGCUUCGGUGGAAACCGCUUUAAUCGCAGUGGCUUGAACCGGGCAAAAGUCGUAACAAGGUU